GAGUUUGAUCAUGGCUCAGGAUGAACGCUAGCGGCAGGCUUAACACAUGCAAGUCGAGGGGUAUUCUAGCAAUAGGAGAGACCGGCGCACGGGUGCGUAACGCGUAUGCAAUCUACCUUUCACAGAGGGAUAGCCCAGAGAAAUUUGGAUUAAUACCUCAUAGUAUAACGACUCCGCAUGGGGAUGUUAUUAAAGUCACAACGGUGAAAGAUGAGCAUGCGUCCCAUUAGCUAGUUGGUAAGGUAACGGCUUACCAAGGCUACGAUGGGUAGGGGUCCUGAGAGGGAGAUCCCCCACACUGGUACUGAGACACGGACCAGACUCCUACGGGAGGCAGCAGUGAGGAAUAUUGGACAAUGGGCGCAAGCCUGAUCCAGCCAUGCCGCGUGCACGAUGACGGGCCUAUGGAUUGUAAACUGCUUUUGCACAGGAAGAAACACCCCCUCGUGAGGGGGCUUGACGGUACUGUGAGAAUAAGGAUC
RNAcentral lists this ribosomal RNA (482 nucleotides) under uncultured bacterium. Its description in RNAcentral is "bacterial SSU rRNA". It matches the Rfam family "Bacterial small subunit ribosomal RNA", at positions 9 to 494 of the family's 1533-position model. The record is from RNAcentral.